AAAAAGUUUUCAAUGCCGAAGACAGUAAGAGCAUAAAUGCUUAAUAUUUCUUACCGAGGUAAAUACUUAAAUAGAUUAUUUAAGUCUUUAUGCCUCGCAUGAAGACUUUUUUGAUA
Molecule: small RNA, 116 nt
Filed under: bovine gut metagenome
Description: Ribosomal protein L10 leader
Rfam family: Ribosomal protein L10 leader
About the family: This family is a putative r-protein leader autoregulatory structure found in B. subtilis and other low-GC Gram-positive bacteria.
Source: RNAcentral